Nymphaea colorata (pocket water lily) is the source of this 93-nucleotide small nucleolar RNA. RefSeq annotates it as small nucleolar RNA snoR26. The record is from RefSeq and is a predicted model, not a curated record. Lineage: Eukaryota; Viridiplantae; Streptophyta; Magnoliopsida; Nymphaeales; Nymphaeaceae. The transcript has a single exon.
CUUGUAUCGGUGAUGAGAAUGUAUGAAACGUCAUCCUUGCACUUUGAUUUCCCAUGAAGAAAAUCCACGGGGAGAAUUGAAACUGAGAUGCUU